RNA transcript from Rattus norvegicus (Norway rat), 800 nucleotides. It is a transcript of the gene named DNL-type zinc finger, with no coding region annotated. NCBI's taxonomy places the organism in Eukaryota, Metazoa, Chordata, Mammalia, Rodentia, Muridae. The transcript is spliced from 3 exons. The record is from RefSeq and is marked validated.
GCUUCCGGCCGCUGCGCCCAUUUCCAAAAUGGCGGAUACAGCUUCAGUUGUACGGGGCGGUGCAAAAAGAGGUGGCCAAGAAUCGUCGUGGUGACGGUGCCCUGGAACGGCAUGUUGCGGACAGCGCUGAGCCGCAUGCCGACACUACUUCGUAGUGUGAGGACCCGGGAUUCCGGACCGCGGCAGCUUUGGGAUUUGGGGGCUCGCCUAAAAACCGCGAAGAGACUUCGGGGCUGGGCCUGGGGCUGGCGGAGCUCGAGCUCCGCGCCGGGAUCAGAGCAUGCGGCGGCGCUAGGGCGCGUGAAAGCGGACCACUACCAGCUCGUCUACACCUGCAAGGUGGGCGCGGUCGGCAGCACCCAGCGCUGGCUGGUUUCCUGAAGGUCUGUGGGACUCGGUCAUCCAAGCACAUCUCAAAGUUGGCCUAUCACCAGGGUGUGGUCAUCGUGACUUGCCCUGGUUGCCAGAACCACCACAUCAUCGCAGACAACCUAAGCUGGUUCUCUGACCUGAAGGGGAAGAGGAACAUUGAAGAGAUCCUAGCAGCCAGAGGAGAGGAGGUACGCCGGGUGUGCGGUGACGGUGCCUUGGAACUGAUUCUGGAGGUGGCUGAACCACCUGCCACCCCAGAAGGGGGUGAAGAUCCCACUCACCCCGGCAAGAUGGACCAGAGCUGACCCCGUACACUCUUGCAACUGUGGACUCCUCCAACUUCAGACUCCAGUCUUCCCAAAAGUCUCCCCCUUCACUUGGAGCCUCUCCAGCCUGCUGUUCUCUGUCAGUAAACAACUGUCAAUCCA